GGCCAAAUCAAUAAUCCAGCACCUGGAAAGAGCCUAUACAGCUUAGCAGCAGGUGGAUGCCCUUGAUGGGAAGGGAUAGAGACUGGAGCCCGACCUCGCAGUGAACGCGCAGUGAGAACGGAGAUGAUAUUCCAGAAGCUUGGCCAUAAGGGAAGAAGAGAGGUGUAGUUGGUGAUCUUCGCCUGGUUAGCAGCACGGUUGUGAGCGGGACACAGCUUACUCGUUAAUGGAGAAGGCUGGGAGCAGACACCUGAUGAGAGAACAGCCCCAGAAAAGGGAAAUGCCUCACUGAUCUCCAUCUGCAGCCUUGCCCAAACCUGCUAGUUUUAUCUCCAUAGUUUCAACUUACCCAAUUCCAAAAUGCACUAUAUAGUUCCGUGUACGCUUCCGGUCGAUUACUGGUUGGUUCCUGUUGUCAGAAGGAUGGACCUUCCCCCUGCCUUCAAAGCUGUUUCAGUGUUGGAAAGAAGAGGAGCCAAGCGUCCAAUUCCUCUCCUUCCAUCAUCUGCCUGGCAAAUACCUGCUCAC
Ailuropoda melanoleuca (giant panda) is the source of this 528-nucleotide long non-coding RNA. RefSeq lists it as uncharacterized. Lineage: Eukaryota; Metazoa; Chordata; Mammalia; Carnivora; Ursidae. The record is from RefSeq and is a predicted model, not a curated record. The transcript is spliced from 3 exons.